GAGGCUCUGCCCAUCAGGGUGGCAGGACCAGCUAUUUUUAGCCAAGAGCCAUUUUUAGCCCUGUCACUCCCCCAAGGCAGAUUUCAGCCUGUGGGCAAGCUGCUGGUGAGAAAGGGUUAAGUGUCUCCUGCUCGCGAUUGCCUCCCCGGUCCCUAGACCCCUCUCUGGGCACCUCCCAGAGAAUAGUUUCUGCCAGCAGACUGCUCAGUCUCUGUCAUAAGCUUUGGAUAUAUCCACCCAUGAAUAUGCAGGAUGUCCCGUGAAGUUUCAGUAGUUUGAAGCUCCAAUCACUUCAAAAGUACAAAGCCCAUAAACUCUCAAAAACAUCAUUUGAAACAAAUUAACUUUUUUACGCCUACUUAGUCUUAUGACUUUUGAAUACUACAUUUUUUUUGUUUCAGUUUUUGAUCUCUGUCCUUUUGAUUAAAGACGACAAAUGCUGACUGAACCGAAAAAUUAAAUGCGUAAAAUUUAAAAUGGGUUAUCAAAACCGGAAAGCUAAGUAAGUGUAAAAGAAAUUUAAGUAAUGGAGCUUUCAAAUGUGUUUUAUACACUGGGCAACUUACUUCUGAAGUCAUCCGAGCUUCAAAGGGCACUAAGACCGACGGGACGCCCUGUUUAAUGAAGGCAAGUGGUGCAGGUGGAAGUUAGGGGCAGAAGUGCUGCAGCAAGACUGUCUCAGGUUCAGCUCCCAGCCCCAGCCAUUACCAGCUGUGUGUCCUUUAUCGAGUUACCUAACCUCUCUGAACGUCAAGUUUUCUCAUCUGUUAAACACAGAUGAUGACAGUACCUACCAUCUGCUGGGGUUGUUUCAAGGCAAGGAAAAAAAUGCACAUAAAGCUUUAGCACAGUGGCUGGGGCAAAAGCACUCAGGCUUAUCUACAUGGACCCUGAGGUCCUAGGGCAGCUGACUGAGAUGAAGACCCUGCUCUAGCAGAUUCCAAGCCAAUGAGAUAAGGCCAAGAAGUCCAGGGACGGGCAGCCCUCUGGUGAGGAUCAAGGCCUUCUGAGAGCCUUGGUGGGCUAGGAGUGAGAGAGCCCAGCUUCUUGGGGCACAGUGCUCUGUUUCGGACCCUGGCUCCUGGCCCGCUGUCGAGAUGCACAGCUGGGCAGACCCACAGAUGCACGGCACAGCUGGAGAGGGCCUCGAAAGUCCGAUUGCUACCCAGGUUCUAAGAGUUCUCGCCUAAGCAUUUAAGAACGUGAGCCAUGGGCCAUCAAGAGACAGCGCCCCACUUGGAAAGAAGGCCAGAGUGGGGGAGGCAGGAGAGCUCCAGCACCCUGGAUGCCCGCCCUCUGCCGCCCUCCUGCACCCCUGCACGUGCCACCGUCAGCCGUUCCGGUGCCGCCUGCACCGGAUGGAGAUGUUUUGGUGACUCUCUCACCUCCCAUUCCUUCAAGACCCAGCUUCAGCAAAGACCUAAACCUCAGGUAAGCUGCUUAAAUGCCUCCUCACCCAGGAAGCCCUCCUGGACCCCUAGACCCAAGCUUGUGCCCUCUUCACCCCUCCGAGGGCCCUGCUGUAUCCAACAUGGCUUCUCUCCGAUCUGUCUCCUCUGCUGGAGUGGGAGUCCCCAAGAGCAAGGCCUCUGUCUGCCUUCGCCUCUGUCUAGGUCACCUUGCCUGGGCCUGGUGUAUGUUAGGAGUUCAAGAAAUACUUGAAUGAAUGAAUCAAUCAAGAGAGAGGGAAAGCAGGUUGGAAAGGAUGUGUCUUGCAGGCUUCACUGCUUGAUUAAUGGCCUGCAAUUUUAUUUCCUGCUGUUCCACUGAGCCCCCAGAUUCUGCCCUGCCCUACCUCCACCCUCCUUGCCUUUGCCUAUGCCGUGCCCCCUUCCUGGAAUGCCUUCUGCUCUUCUGCCCAAUCUUGACUUCCUCCUAGUCUGUCACCCUUCCUCUCUUCCAUACCACUCCAGACUCCCACCGUCUCUCCUGGGGCUGCCUUCUGUUGCCCUGCGUCUGUGUGUCCACCCUCCUCCUGAAGAAAUCAGACCCCUGCAGUGCCGCCCCAGAGCAGAGGCACAGCAAAUGCAUUGAGAUGUUGGAAUGGCUGCGGCUGAGAUGUCCUAAGACAAGACAGAAGGCCACCAGGUGUGAAUCUCAGCUCUGACUCCUCAUGAGUCACACCUUGGAUCUCAGUUUCACUUGUAAAAUAAAGCAAAUGGGCUGAACUUUAAAAUACCAUGUUCUCAAUUCUGGGAGGAAAAGUGGGCCUAAUCCAGAUAUAGCCGGAGCUACCAGCCUCAGUGGGGCAACGACCCAGAGAUGGAUGGAUGAAUGAGUUAUAGCUUCAUUCAUGGAGUUCAUGCUAUAGGCCAGACCUCAGAAUGGAUGUUAUCCAGACACUGUCUCAUUAAUCUCAGAGCUAAGUCCAUAAAGUAAACAGAACCUCAGAGAAGUUAAGUCAUCUGCCCGAGGACACCCAGCAUUUACGUGACAGCUGGAAUCUAGGUCUGUCUGAAUUUAAGGGCUGUGUUUCUCCACCAGAGGAUGCUGCUACUCAGAUGCAAGGAUGGGACACAUUAUGAAGGUUUUCAAUGAACGGCUCAGGGGAAAUGCCGCCUCUUUCCUGAGAACGCUGCCCCACCAAGGCUGUAAACACGUGUGUACGUGCACACACAGGCACACACCCAACUAUGGUGCGGGACUCCGAUCUACAGUUUGCAGCCUGGGUAUGGAUGCUGCCUCCACUAAUUUUGGAGACGUUCCCAGGCUUUCUCAGUUUCAGCUUCUUUAGCUCCGACAGAGGCAUCCACCCCACUGUUGGGAGAUUCACCAGGAUAAAGUCUGGGCCCCGGAGGCUCAGACUGGUACAGAAGGCACCCUCAGGAACUGGGGGUUGUCAGCAUUCACCGCCCAGUGAUUGCUGUCACCGUCUCGCCCUCGCACACAGGUCACAAUUGUCUGGCCUGGCCAGGCAAGGCCUGAAGCCCCCACCCGU
Molecule: non-coding RNA, 2938 nt
Organism: Odocoileus virginianus texanus
Lineage: Eukaryota; Metazoa; Chordata; Mammalia; Artiodactyla; Cervidae
Source: RefSeq, a predicted model, not a curated record